RNAcentral lists this transfer RNA (67 nucleotides) under Nycteris thebaica (Egyptian slit-faced bat). RNAcentral describes it as "tRNA-Val". It matches the Rfam family "tRNA". From Rfam's summary of the family: Transfer RNA (tRNA) molecules are approximately 80 nucleotides in length. Their secondary structure includes four short double-helical elements and three loops (D, anti-codon, and T loops). Lineage: Eukaryota; Metazoa; Chordata; Mammalia; Chiroptera; Nycteridae. The record is from RNAcentral.
CAAAGUGUAGCUUAAACAAAGCAUCUGGCCUACACCCAGAAGACUUCAUCAAAAAUGACCACUUUGA